Molecule: long non-coding RNA, 404 nt
Filed under: Olea europaea subsp. europaea
Lineage: Eukaryota; Viridiplantae; Streptophyta; Magnoliopsida; Lamiales; Oleaceae
Source: RNAcentral
CCGUGGUGAGAUUAACAACCCAAGUAAAAUAUAUAAAGUAACUAUAUAUACACAGUAUAUUUAAUUCCCAGUUGAGUGUAAUGAAGGGAGAAUAAGCAACUCAUUAGCUACCAUUUCAAUGUGAACAAGAUUUUGGGUGAGGUGGGGUGGAGUGGAAUGGGUUGGGGAGUGGAGGUGGCAAGAUUGAUAUAAUCUACAAAGGAUCUCUUCAACACUUAUGUCUACGCCAUCCCUCAUCGAAUUCUAGAAGUACAGGAAUAUUAUGAAACACCACUAAAAAUGAAAAUUUGGAUUUUUUGAGCAAUUAUUAGACUGAGACAUGUAUAAUGCAAAUUUGGGACAUGCAAUCACAGAUACAUUUCCACCGGGUAAUCUAGAUGGCAUUGAAUAUUCCUUUCCAGGUC